Molecule: ribosomal RNA, 465 nt
Filed under: uncultured bacterium
Lineage: Bacteria
Description: partial 16S ribosomal RNA
Rfam family: Bacterial small subunit ribosomal RNA
Source: RNAcentral
GAUGAACGCUGGCGGCGUGCUUAACACAUGCAAGUCGAACGGAAAGGCCCAAGCUUGCUUGGGUCCUCGAGUGGCGAACGGGUGAGUAACACGUGGGUGAUCUGCCCUGCACUUCGGGAUAAGCCUGGGAAACUGGGUCUAAUACCGGAUAGGACCACAUUUUGGAUGGUGUGGUGGAAAGUUUUUCGGUGUGGGAUGAGCUCGCGGCCUAUCAGCUUGUUGGUGGGGUAAUGGCCUACCAAGGCGUCGACGGGUAGCCGGCCUGAGAGGGUGUACGGCCACAUUGGGACUGAGAUACGGCCCAGACUCCUACGGGAGGCAGCAGUGGGGAAUAUUGCACAAUGGGCGCAAGCCUGAUGCAGCGACGCCGCGUGGGGGAUGACGGCCUUCGGGUUGUAAACUACUUUCGCUAGGGACGAAGCGCAAGUGACGGUACCUGGAGAAGAAGCACCGGCUAACUACGUG